AGCCAGGCAAGUAGUCCUGCCCCAGUUCACCUUCAGGGAGAAACCAGAUGGGUCGGGUAAAGCCCGGGUUAGUGCCCCCUCUGCAGCCCUGUGUGACAGCCACCAAGAAGACAAUGUGACAAGCAGGAUCAUCACCAGGGUGCCACAGGAAGUGAAGCCAGUGCAAGGUAACGGCAGCAGGGCCAGACGUGACCUGCACAGGACACGCAUGCAGUUACUAGAGCCAAGCUGAAUUAACAGCCAGCCGUUUUUGCUGUUGGAAACAACUACAGAUGGGACCAAGUGCCAGGGGAUGGAGUCCAGGACCCCGCAGCCCACUCACCCUGGGUGAAGACACAAGGUGCCAGACCCCGAAUCUGCAGGUGCACCGGCCCCC
Long non-coding RNA from Ochotona princeps (American pika), 376 nucleotides. RefSeq lists it as uncharacterized. The record is from RefSeq and is a predicted model, not a curated record. NCBI's taxonomy places the organism in Eukaryota, Metazoa, Chordata, Mammalia, Lagomorpha, Ochotonidae. The transcript is spliced from 3 exons.